GAUGAAGAACGUAGCGAAAUGCGAUAAGUAAUGUGAAUUGCAGAAUUCAGUGAAUCAUCGAAUCUUUGAACGCACAUUGCGCCCGCCAGUAUUCUGGCGGGCAUGCCUGUCUGAGCGUCAUUUCAACCCUCAUGCCCCUAGGGCGUGGUGUUGGGGAUCGGCCAAAGCCCGCGAGGGACGGCCGGCCCCUAAAUCUAGUGGCGGACCCGUCGUGGCCUCCUCUGCGAAGUAGUGAUAUUCCGCAUCGGAGAGCGACGAGCCCCUGCCGUUAAACCCCCAACUUUCCAAGGUUGACCUCAGAUCAGGUAGGAAUACCCGCUGAACUUAAGCAUAUCAAUAAACGGAGGA
This 348-nucleotide unclassified non-coding RNA is filed under the name soil metagenome. RNAcentral describes it as "partial contains 5.8S ribosomal RNA, internal transcribed spacer 2, and large subunit ribosomal RNA". The stretch from base 1 to 120 matches the Rfam family "5.8S ribosomal RNA", at positions 35 to 154 of the family's 154-position model. The record is from RNAcentral.